This is an RNA transcript of Gadus chalcogrammus (walleye pollock), 5681 nucleotides long. RefSeq lists it as uncharacterized. NCBI's taxonomy places the organism in Eukaryota, Metazoa, Chordata, Actinopteri, Gadiformes, Gadidae. The record is from RefSeq and is a predicted model, not a curated record. The transcript has 9 exons.
GUGUGUGUGUGUGUGUGUGUGUGUGUUCUUGUAUUCCUAUACUUAUGGGGACAUUGAUCUGUUCACACAGUCACGCCGUGGGGACCUCUGACAGUAUGGGGACCAAAAUCGAGGUCCCCAUGAGGGAAAGUGCUUUAAAUGACUUCAGGAGUCAAUCUGAAGGUGCCAGUGUGUUUUUUUUGUUUUUUUGGUUUUGGCCCAUAAUUCACAAUUUUCUGUCGGGUCACACACACACACACAUUUCUCACUAUCGCCCCCUAAGGAUCCCGGUUGGUAUUGCACUUGAUAGUUCACACACACCACUACCAAAUAUGGUAUGUACCGCCCCUUCCUUGUCCCCAUGAAGUAUGUAUUCAAAUACUAAGAACUUUUUUCAGUGUUAGUCAACAAUUAGGCUAUUGGAAACGUUUAUUUGCAACAGAUGCCAACUACAGUGCUAAGAAUUAUACUUUUUUAAUUACAUUUUAAUUAAAAUGUAUUUAUUCAAUACAAAAUGCAGCUUAUAGGAAUUGCUUUAUAAUUAAUUGAGUGCUGGAUUGAAAUAAUAUAUUUCUUGAUCUAGUAAAAGCAAUAAAACAUGGCUUCUUAUUAGUGAAUUAGCAUUUAUAGAUAUGAUAUUUUGCCAUAACAAUAAUAAGAUUAAUCAUAUAUUCCCGAUUGUUGUCUUAGAUUCAAUAGAUUGUUGUCUUAUUGUCUAAGAGUCCAAACAAUACAUUUUUCCAAUGCUAGUAAGAGGCUUGUGACUUUGGCCGUUUGCUUUUAAUGUGAAAUCAGACAGGAAGUCAAAUGUACCUUCAGGUUCAACCUCAGCCUAGAAGAAGAGCCUUUUAUCUCUGUGAAACCGUCGAAUUUGAUGCAUAUUAAGGAUUUACCCGGAGCAAGUGGCGUGUACAUUUGAAAUGCCACCAAGAAUCAGUCCCCUCACAGAUGCCUGUCACCAUGUCGGUUUAAAGACUGACAAUACAUGGAAACUGGAGGUGAAGUACAUCAAUGCAGUAAAAGGGCGUGGGGUGUUCGCCAUAGGUUCAUUCUCCAAAGGAGAUUUUAUAGUGGAAUGCAGGGGAGAUUUGAUAAGCGAUAGUGAAGCUCAAAAGAGAAGAAGAAAUUAUAACCCUGCAUGUUCUGGAUUUUUGUUCGCGUUCAAGUUGGGAGGCAAAACAUGGUGCAUUGACGCCUCUAGAGAAGAUGGUUCCUUCGGCCGCUUGGUGAACGAUGACCACAGACAUCCCAAUGCCAGGAUGAAGAGAAUAGACAUUGCAGGAAGCACACACCUCUGUCUCUUUGCUCUCCAAGACAUAAAAGAAGGUGAAGAAAUUGCAUAUAAUUAUGGAGGAGAGGACUGCCCAAGCAGGUACGUGUUACAACUAGUGUUAAGGUAUAUACAAUUCAAGAAUGUCUUGGAAUAACUUAAUGAUUGAUGGUAUCUUUUCUUUGAAACUAUAUAAAUCAAUUUCAAUAAAUGAUAAUUUUUUCUAUUGUAUAUUAAAACAUUGGAUAUUCAGGAGGCAUCUGAAUCAGGGCCAAAUGUCACUGUAGUCUGGGACGUUCCCGACGUCCCCACAAUACAUCUUGUAUGGUUUUGUUUCAGUGAAACUUUAUGUUAAGUAUCUGAUAAAGGAGAACGUACAGGUGUGCGAAAUUCAACACAGUUAAUUCAACAUGUGUGAAAUGUCCCCACUAGGCAUAGUCUAUGUGACAGCAGACAGGUUGACAAAGCAGGACAAAAUAUGACCAUAGAAUCCUUUCUCGCUAGUUUGGUGUGUGGGGAUGUAUUUGACCCAAGAGACAUGUCCUUUAGAAAAUGUAUUAAAAUAAUAUAAUAUUAUGCAGUGUUUACAUGAAAUUGACUGAUUUACUUUUUGUAUCAAAUUGCAGAUGACUACAUGUGAACCUGAGACGUCCUGUGUGAGCUCCCAGUCUGUGCUCAUGUCAGAGCCACAGUGGGAUGAAGCUGCCUGGUUAGAGGACACUGGUCACCAGAUGACUACAUGUGAACCUGACACGCCCUGUGUGAGCUCCCAGUCUGUGCUCAUGUCAGAGCCACAAUGGGAUGAAGCUGCCUGGUUAGAGGACACUGGUCAACAGGUAAUUCAUGUCCAUCACUUAAUGUUUUCCUCUAGUGUCUUCUAGUUACCUUUGAUGUCUUCUGUUGUCUACUUUAAGCAGGUAAAUGAAAAGAAUCCGAUAAUUAUGAGGGGAAUCUAUUAUACAUCAGGUCUGCCAAACAGUUUUCUGUAAUGCUUGUAUAAGGCUAAUGAUUAAGGGAUAUGUUGGACACAUCUAAACCUUGUUGAGUAAUUUUCCCGGGGCAAAAUGUCACUGUAAUCUGGGACAUUCACGACGUCCCCACAAUGCACCUUUUAUGGUUUUGUUUCAGUGUUAUGUUAUGUUAAGUGUUUGAUAACCGAGAACGUACAGGUGUGUGAAAUGUCCCCACUCAGCAGGGUUUAUUCAAGAUGUGUGAAAUGUCCCCACUACGCAUAGUCUAUUUGACAGCAGAGAGAGGUUGACAAAGCAGGACAAAAUAUGACGCUAGAAUUCUUUCUCACUAGUCUGCUGUGUUGGCAUGUAUUUGAUCCAAGAGACAUGUCUUUUAGAAAAUGUCUUAAAAUAAUAUAAUAUUAUGCAGUGUUUACAUGAAAUUGACUGAUUUACUUUUUGUAUCAAAUUGCAGAUGACUACAUGUGAACCUGACACGCACUGUGUGAGCUCCCAGCCUGUGCUCAUGUCAGAGCCAAAGUGGGAUGAAGCUGCCUGGUUAGAGGACACUGGUCACCAGAUGACUACAUGUGAACCUGACACGCCCUGUGUGAGCUCCCAGUCUGUGCUCAUGUCAGAGCCACAAUGGGAUGAAGCUGCCUGGUUAGAGGACACUGGUCAACAGGUAAUUCAUGUCCAUCACUUAAUGUUUUCCUCUAGUGUCUUCUAGUUACCUUUGAUGUCUUCUGUUGUCUACUUUAAGCAGGUAAAUGAAAAGAAUCCGAUAAUUAUGAGGGGAAUCUAUUAUACAUCAGGUCUGCCAAACAGUUUUCUGUAAUGCUUGUAUAAGGCUAAUGAUUAAGGGAUAUGUUGGACACAUCUAAACCUUGUUGAGUAAUUUUCCCGGGGCAAAAUGUCACUGUAAUCUGGGACAUUCACGACGUCCCCACAAUGCACCUUUUAUGGUUUGGUUGAUAACGGAGAACGUACAGGUGUGUGAAAUGUCCCCACUCAGCAGGGUUUAUUCAAGAUGAGUGAAAUGUCCCCACUAGGCAUAGUCUAUUUGACAGCAGACAGAGGUUGACAAAGCAGGACAAAAUAUGAGAGUAGAAUUCCUUCUCACUAGUCUGGUGUGUGGGCAUGUAUUUGACCCAAGAGGUAGAACAUUUAUUAAAAGAAUAAAAUAUUAUGCAGUGUUUACAUUAAAUUGACUGAUUUACUUUUUGUAUCAAAUUGCAGAUGACUACAUGUGAACCUGACACGCCCUGUGUGAGCUCCCAGUCUGUGCUCAUGUCAGAGCCACAAUGGGAUGAAGCUGCCUGGUUAGAGGACACUGGUCAACAGAUGACUACAUGUGAACCUGACACGCACUGUGUGAGCUCCCAGCCUGUGCUCAUGUCAGAGCCAAAGUGGGAUGAAGCUGCCUGGUUAGAGGACACUGGUCACCAGAAGAGGAAACUGUUGGAGGCACGGAGGGGGAAUAAAAUCCCAGCAAAACAGAGACGCAAACUGCCACCAGCAGAAGAUGGAGCAUCUUUUCCAGUCUGUGCUGUGAGCCAUGUUCUUCCAAAGGCUGCAGGAAUCGGUCUGUUUCUUUUCUUUGUAAACUGACUCGAUUGCAGCUUUUCUGCACCACCGCCUGGUCUCGUCUGCUUUCUAGGUGAGGCGUAGUUCCUCUUGCGUGUUUCAACUAACCUAUUUGUUUGUCCCUGUGAUGACGUUAAUUUUCAUGGCUACUUGGAUGCAUGUUAAUGCAGGAGUCAACCAACAGACUGAGAGUGGAACACUCCAAUCAAUCAUUUUUUUUAUAGCACCUUUCAUACAGUUAGUGCAGUUCAAAGUGCUUCACAGAUGGCUGAGAAAGCAGAUAAUAGGACAUAUAUUAAUUGAAGAUGAAAGAAAGAUUGCAGACAAAGGAAUUAUGACAAGAAAAUUAUAAUGUUAAAUAAGAAAAAGAAAGCUGCCAUAAUAUCGAAGACAUAAUGCUACUGUUGCUAAAAAACAAAAAUAAGGAAUUAAUAUUAUAGUCUCUAAAUGAAAGUGUGUGGCAUGUAAUACAAUAAAAGUUUUUAGUUGACACUUUACAAUAAGGUGUACUAAUGAGCAGAUCACUGAGGAUUGUUGAUGCAGGACAUGAAACUUAUAGGAACUGUAUCUCCUUCCUGAUACUUUCAUGUAAACAUCUGUUUUUCUACUCAUUUACAGGAAAGGCUCCACUCAAAAGGGAACCAUGGCAGCCAGCAGAGAUAAAGGCCGUCGAGAGGCACAUAAAGGCUUUAAUACAUGCUUGCACUGUGCCAAAAAUGUCUAACUAAACUAAAUCUGUAGGUGGCGAAGAAGUUAAAGCUGCGUCACGCUUUGAACUAAACACUUUUUCCAUCUAGUGUCGACUGGGUUUUUGGAUUGUCGGUGCCAUUAAAGUAGCAUUAAUAAUCGUCGUAAUAAUCCUAACGAUUAUUAAUGCUACUUUAACGGCAUAGACAUUCCAAAAACCCAGUCGACACUAGAUGGAAAAAGUGUAUAGAACAAAACGUGAUGCAGCUUCCCUUUUUUUCUUCGCAACCUACAGACUUUGUUAUGUACGAUUAUUCAAACACGCCAUGUUAUUUAAUAUAGACAUUUGACCGAGGGAAACGGAGCCUCAGAGGUCGAACUUAUUCUCUCGAGGUCUAUGUGACUUCCAUUUAUAUUGUGACUAUUCUGUAUCUUGAUGCCUCUUCCUGGCCCACAAGGAUACACCAGCAGGUUCUGACAUGUAUUAACCGCACUCUGAUGGCUCGAGUCUGUGCGUGAUGUGUGUCUAUGCUAAUGUAUGUAUGUGCUGGUAUACUUUUAAAAAUAAAGUAUCAAUGCAUCUAAUUCUCCAUCCGUCUCUGGUGCUAUUUACUGUGGACCCACACCUGUUUGGGAGAUCCCUCCCAUGUGUGAGGGUGGCAUCGAUGGUGUUGGUAAAAUAAAAACCCAUACACACACAUAGUGCACGGUAAUAUCAUGAAAUAAGUUGGUAUCACGCCACAUAUAGAUGGUGGAUGGCCAAGAGGAACAUUUGCAGAGGGCAUGGCCGCCCCUGGUUCCAGGGGCUCUCGGAAAUUGAGAGGUUAAAACACCUUGGCCCUCUGGCUAUACUCUAUAUACUCUCCUCGGGCUAUAUAUAUUUAUGUACAAUCAGGUCCCCAUUAGUCACCAAAUAAUCUGUGUGAAAUAUUCUAAUUUAUGUAAAUGAUGUCCCCUGAAAGCAUGUUUACUGGUUCUUCCGGAAGUCCCCAUAAAGCCUGGUUAAACCAUCACAAAACUCUGAAACAUCAUUUCAGAGUUUUGAAGUUGUGUAUAGGUUAACUAAGCUAUGGCAAGUUUACUGAAUUUUUUUCAGCUCUCUACAACCUCUGGAAAGGGUGGUCCUCACAAGUGAUGAUUAUAAAGGUCGUCCUCAUGAGUGAUGAAAACCAGUAUGUGUGUGUGUGUGUGUGUGUGUGUGUGUGUGU